RNAcentral lists this ribosomal RNA (468 nucleotides) under uncultured bacterium. RNAcentral's name for it is "partial 16S ribosomal RNA". It matches the Rfam family "Bacterial small subunit ribosomal RNA", at positions 28 to 507 of the family's 1533-position model. The record is from RNAcentral.
GACGAACGCUGGCGGCGUGCUUAACACAUGCAAGUCGAACGGAAAGGCCCUGCUUUUGUGGGGUGCUCGAGUGGCGAACGGGUGAGUAACACGUGAGUAACCUGCCCUUGACUUUGGGAUAACUUCAGGAAACUGGGGCUAAUACCGGAUAGGAGCUCCUGCUGCAUGGUGGGGGUUGGAAAGUUUCGGCGGUUGUGGAUGGACUCGCGGCUUAUCAGCUUGUUGGUGGGGUAGUGGCUUACCAAGGCUUUGACGGGUAGCCGGCCUGAGAGGGUGACCGGCCACAUUGGGACUGAGAUACGGCCCAGACUACUACGGGAGGCAGCAGUGGGGAAUAUUGCACAAUGGGCGGAAGCCUGAUGCAGCAACGCCGCGUGCGGGAUGACGGCCUUCGGGUUGUAAACCGCUUCCGCCUGUGACGAAGCGUGAGUGACGGUAAUGGGUAAAGAAGCACCGGCUAACUACGUG